RNAcentral lists this ribosomal RNA (429 nucleotides) under uncultured bacterium. RNAcentral describes it as "bacterial SSU rRNA". It matches the Rfam family "Bacterial small subunit ribosomal RNA", at positions 355 to 776 of the family's 1533-position model. The record is from RNAcentral.
UGGGGAAUUUUGGACAAUGGGCGCAAGCCUGAUCCAGCCAUGCCGCGUGAGUGAAGAAGGCCUUCGGGUUGUAAAGCUCUUUAGUCCGGGACGAAAUCGCACGCGUGAAUAUCGCGGGUGGAUGACGGUACCGGAAGAAUAAGCACCGGCUAACUACGUGCCAGCAGCCGCGGUAAUACGUAGGGUGCGAGCGUUAAUCGGAAUUACUGGGCGUAAAGCGUGCGCAGGUGGUUUUUUAAGUCAGACGUGAAAUCCCCGGGCUUAACCUGGGAACUACGUUUGAAACUGGAAGACUAGAGUGUGGCAGAGGGGGGUGGAAUUCCUGGUGUAGCAGUGAAAUGCGUAGAGAUCAGGAGGAACACCGAUGGCGAAGGCAGCCCCCUGGGCUAACACUGACGCUCAUGCACGAAAGCGUGGGGAGCAAACAGG